RNAcentral lists this ribosomal RNA (208 nucleotides) under uncultured Corynebacterium sp. RNAcentral's name for it is "partial 16S ribosomal RNA". It matches the Rfam family "Bacterial small subunit ribosomal RNA", at positions 568 to 774 of the family's 1533-position model. Lineage: Bacteria; Bacillati; Actinomycetota; Actinomycetes; Mycobacteriales; Corynebacteriaceae. The record is from RNAcentral.
CUCGUAGGUGGUUUGUCGCGUCGUUUGUGGAAUACCGGGGCUUAACUUCGGGGUUGCAUACGAUACGGGCAUAACUUGAGUGCUGUAGGGGAGACUGGAAUUCCUGGUGUAGCGGUGAAAUGCGCAGAUAUCAGGAGGAACACCGAUGGCGAAGGCAGGUCUCUGGGCAGUAACUGACGCUGAGGAGCGAAAGCAUGGGGAGCGAACA